Stegodyphus dumicola is the source of this 1113-nucleotide long non-coding RNA. Lineage: Eukaryota; Metazoa; Arthropoda; Arachnida; Araneae; Eresidae. The record is from RefSeq and is a predicted model, not a curated record.
CUAGCCAUUAAUAAGACCUCACAAUUUCUUAAUCCCGUUUCUGUUUCUUUCUUUCUUUAUUAAGAUGUUCUUAAAUAAGCAAUUCAUUUUUUUUUUUUUUUUUUUUUUUCGUUUAGGUAAUACUGCGGCUACCUGCAUGAGGGACGGACGUCUGUUAUGCAUGUUACAAAUUCAUGAAACCAAUAUUCAGCGAUCCGACCGCUGCGCCGCCAGUUUCCCUGUAAUACUGCGGCUACCUGCAUGAGGGACGGACGUCUGUUAUGCAUGUUACAAAUUCAUGAAACCAAUAUUCAGCGAUCCGACCGCUGCGCCGCCAGUUUCCCUGUAAUACUGCGGCUACCUGCAUGAGGGACGGACGUCUGUUAUGCAUGUUACAAAUUCAUGAAACCAAUAUUCAGCGAUCCGACCGCUGCGCCGCCAGUUUCCCUGUAAUACUGCGGCUACCUGCAUGAGGGACGGACGUCUGUUAUGCAUGUUACAAAUUCAUGAAACCAAUAUUCAGCGAUCCGACCGCUGCGCCGCCAGUUUCCCUGUAAUACUGCGGCUACCUGCAUGAGGGACGGACGUCUGUUAUGCAUGUUACAAAUUCAUGAAACCAAUAUUCAGCGAUCCGACCGCUGCGCCGCCAGUUUCCCUGUAAUACUGCGGCUACCUGCAUGAGGGACGGACGUCUGUUAUGCAUGUUACAAAUUCAUGAAACCAAUAUUCAGCGAUCCGACCGCUGCGCCGCCAGUUUCCCUGUAAUACUGCGGCUACCUGCAUGAGGGACGGACGUCUGUUAUGCAUGUUACAAAUUCAUGAAACCAAUAUUCAGCGAUCCGACCGCUGCGCCGCCAGUUUCCCUGUAAGAUUUCUUUUUAUUUAAUUAAAAUUUUCGUAACAUACAUGAAUGAAUUCCAUCGGAUAUUUUUUAGGAUAAUUCAUUUCGGUUCAUAUUUUUUUUUAAUUUAAAUUUUCGUUACAUACCUGAUUAGGUUUCAUCACAGUUUUUUGCUUAUAAUUUUUGUUUAACACCUAACACUUCUUUUGAGUAUCAUUUUCUUUUUCAUAACUAACAGUUCUUUUAUGUAUGUAUAUUUUUACUUACUUUAUUUUAAAUACAUACAUAUUUCA